RNAcentral lists this unclassified non-coding RNA (330 nucleotides) under soil metagenome. Its description in RNAcentral is "partial contains 5.8S ribosomal RNA, internal transcribed spacer 2, and large subunit ribosomal RNA". The stretch from base 1 to 120 matches the Rfam family "5.8S ribosomal RNA", at positions 35 to 154 of the family's 154-position model. The record is from RNAcentral.
GAUGAAGAACGUAGCGAAAUGCGAUAAGUAAUGUGAAUUGCAGAAUUCAGUGAAUCAUCGAAUCUUUGAACGCACAUUGCGCCCUCUGGUAUUCCGGGGGGCAUGCCUGUUCGAGCGUCAUUUCAACCCUCAAGCUCUGCUUGGUAUUGGGCCCCGCCGGCACCCGGCGCGCCCUAAAAUCAGUGGCGGCGUCAUCUGGCUCUAAGCGUAGUAAUUCUUCUCGCUAUGGAGUCCUGGUGGAUGCUUGCCAUCAACCCCCAAUUUUUCUAUGGUUGACCUCGGAUCAGGUAGGGAUACCCGCUGAACUUAAGCAUAUCAAUAAGCGGAGGA